CCUACGGGCGGCUGCAGUGGGGAAUAUUGGACAAUGGGGGGAACCCUGAUCCAGCCAUGCCGCGUGUGUGAAGAAGGCCCUCGGGUUGUAAAGCACUUUCAGUGAGGAAGAACGCCUGGUGGUUAAUACCCAUCAGGAAAGACAUCACUCACAGAAGAAGCACCGGCUAACUCCGUGCCAGCAGCCGCGGUAAUACGGAGGGUGCGAGCGUUAAUCGGAAUUACUGGGCGUAAAGCGCGCGUAGGUGGCUUGAUAAGCCGGUUGUGAAAGCCCCGGGCUCAACCUGGGAACGGCAUCCGGAACUGUCAAGCUAGAGUGCAGGAGAGGAAGGUAGAAUUCCCGGUGUAGCGGUGAAAUGCGUAGAGAUCGGGAGGAAUUCCAGUGGCGAAGGCGGCCUUCUGGACUGACACUGACACUGAGGUGCGAAAGCGUGGGUAGCAAACAGGAUUAGAUACCCUGGUAGUC
Molecule: ribosomal RNA, 465 nt
Filed under: Vreelandella stevensii
Lineage: Bacteria; Pseudomonadati; Pseudomonadota; Gammaproteobacteria; Oceanospirillales; Halomonadaceae
Description: partial 16S ribosomal RNA
Rfam family: Bacterial small subunit ribosomal RNA
Source: RNAcentral